CAAAAAUUGAAAAAGAUGCAGAGCAUGUACAAAAUAAUAUUAUUAUUGUAAUAUCACCUAGUAGUAUUUGAGAUAUACCGUGGUGUACAUUAUUUUGUACAUGCUCUGCAUCUUUUUCAAUUUUUG
RNAcentral lists this microRNA precursor (126 nucleotides) under Pelobates cultripes (western spadefoot toad). Lineage: Eukaryota; Metazoa; Chordata; Amphibia; Anura; Pelobatidae. The record is from RNAcentral.